Molecule: ribosomal RNA, 467 nt
Filed under: uncultured bacterium
Lineage: Bacteria
Description: partial 16S ribosomal RNA
Rfam family: Bacterial small subunit ribosomal RNA
Source: RNAcentral
GACGAACGCUGGCGCGUGCUUAACACAUGCCAGUCGCACGGAAAGGCCCUGCUUUUGUGGGGUGCUCGAGUGGCGAACGGGUGAGUAACACGUGAGUAACCUGCCCUUGACUUUGGGAUAACUUCAGGAAACUGGGGCUAAUACCGGAUAGGAGCUCCUGCUGCAUGGUGGGGGUUGGAAAGUUUCGGCGGUUGGGGAUGGACUCGCGGCUUAUCAGCUUGUUGGUGGGGUAGUGGCUUACCAAGGCUUUGACGGGUAGCCGGCCUGAGAGGGUGACCGGCCACAUUGGGACUGAGAUACGGCCCAGACUCCUACGGGAGGCAGCAGUGGGGAAUAUUGCACAAUGGGCGGAAGCCUGAUGCAGCAACGCCGCGUGCGGGAUGACGGCCUUCGGGUUGUAAACCGCUUUCGCCUGUGACGAAGCGUGAGUGACGGUAAUGGGUAAGGAAGCACCGGCUAACUACGUG